CUAAUCAAGAAUCCAUCUAUCUCUGCCUUAAAAAUAUCCAUUAACUUGGCCUCCACAGGUUUCUGUGGCAAAUAAUUCCACAGAUUCACCACCCUCUGACUUAAUAAAUUUCUCAUCUUCUUUUUCCUGAAAGAACGUCCUUUCAUUUCAG
Amblyraja radiata (thorny skate) is the source of this 151-nucleotide long non-coding RNA. RefSeq lists it as uncharacterized. Lineage: Eukaryota; Metazoa; Chordata; Chondrichthyes; Rajiformes; Rajidae. The record is from RefSeq and is a predicted model, not a curated record. The transcript has 3 exons.